UGAAAAGCUCAGAGAGAAAAGGAAGCAGGUUCAGGCUUCAGAAUACAAAAAAAUCGACCACCUUGAUCCAUCAUGAUCCCCAAGUGUUGUAGCGUCAAUUAGGAGGAGCACAACAAAGCAGUUUCCGUGUCAGUUCCUGAAAGGCCAAUGAAUGGAGCACUAGUACACAGGUAGAACUUCCAAACUUUCCAUUCCAAUCGAAUGUGGUUAGGCACGCUACCGACUGAGGGCGCACUCACAUUAGGCAGUGUAACUGGAAAAGAUUGUCAGCUCGAAAGCCACGUCCCGUUUACCUUGUAUUCAUGGAUCGGAACCCUGCCUGGUAUUUAAACUCCUCUGGCAUCUUCAAUCUCCAGCGUAUCAUAAUCCAUGUUCACGGGGUACACGGGGUACCUGUAGACAUUUCGACAACUGUCAG
This is a long non-coding RNA of Acanthopagrus latus (yellowfin seabream), 418 nucleotides long. RefSeq lists it as uncharacterized. The record is from RefSeq and is a predicted model, not a curated record. NCBI's taxonomy places the organism in Eukaryota, Metazoa, Chordata, Actinopteri, Spariformes, Sparidae. The transcript has 3 exons.